Molecule: ribosomal RNA, 776 nt
Filed under: uncultured Neocallimastigales
Lineage: Eukaryota; Fungi; Neocallimastigomycota; Neocallimastigomycetes; Neocallimastigales
Description: partial large subunit ribosomal RNA
Rfam family: Eukaryotic large subunit ribosomal RNA
Source: RNAcentral
UAUGUGAUCGUCUCUCGCAUAUCAAUAAGCGGAGGAAAAGAAACUAACAAGGAUUCCCCUAGUAACGGCGAGUGAAGCGGGAAGAGCUCAAAUUUGAAAUCUUAAAGGGUUUCCCUUUACGAAUUGUAGUUUAAAGAAGUGGUUUUCUGUUGAGGUUUUGGUAAAAGUUCUUUGGAAUAGGACAUCAUAGAGGGUGAGAAUCCCGUAUUUGACCUUUACUUUCAACUUUGUGAUACACUUUCAAAGAGUCGGAUUGUUUGGGAAUGCAGUCCCAAAAUGGGUGGUAAAUUUCAUCUAAAGCUAAAUAUUGGCGAGAGACCGAUAGCGAACAAGUACCGUGAGGGAAAGAUGAAAAGAACUUUGAAAAGAGAGUUAAACAGUACGUGAAAUUGUCAAAAGGGAAGCGUUUGACACCAGUGUUGUUUUUCUGAAAAUCAAUUAAAGAACUGUUUAUGCUAAGCUGUUUAGACUUUAUCAGCUAACUGUUUAGUUUUGAGCUUUUCUUUAAUGCACCUUUCAGUUAACAAGUCAACAUCAAUUUCUUUUGCUGUAAAAAAGCCUGAGGAAGGUGGCUUGAGAUUCGUCUUAAGUGUUUAUAGCCUCUUGCCUAUGCAGUCGGAGAGAUUGAGGUCUGCAGCGUAGAUCCUUCGGGGCUAAAUGCAUUUGUGCUAAGUUAUAGCAUUUUAUAGACAACUUGUUGACUAUGAUUUGUCUUGUAGCUUACUCGCUUAUGUUAUUUUACCUACGCUUAGGAUGUUGAUCUGUAGUGCGUGCGC